CCCCUCGGCUGCUACAUUGUAU
RNAcentral lists this microRNA (22 nucleotides) under Bombyx mori (domestic silkworm). RNAcentral describes it as "bmo-miR-2756-3p". Lineage: Eukaryota; Metazoa; Arthropoda; Insecta; Lepidoptera; Bombycidae. The record is from miRBase by way of RNAcentral.